AGAGUGAACGCUGGCGGCAGGCCUAACACAUGCAAGUCGAGCGGCAGCGCAGCAGUAGCAAUACUGUGGGCGGCGAGCGGCGGACGGGUGAGGAACACAUCGGAAUCUACCCUGUCGUGGGGGACAACGUAGGGAAACUUACGCUAAUACCGCAUACGACCUUUGGGUGAAAGUGGGGGACUCGCAAGAGCCUCACGCGAUUGGAUGAGCCGAUGUCCGAUUAGCUAGUUGGCGGGGUAAUGGCCCACCAAGGCGACGAUCGGUAGCUGGUCUGAGAGGACGACCAGCCACACUGGAACUGAGACACGGUCCAGACUCCUACGGGAGGCAGCAGUGGGGAAUUUUCCGCAAUGGAGGCAACUCUGACGGAGCAACGCCGCGUGCAGGAGGAAGGUUUUCGGAUCGUAAACUGCUUUUCUCGGGGACGAGCAAGGACGGUACCCGAGGAAGAAGCCCCGGCUAACUACGCGCCAGCAGCCGCGGU
RNAcentral lists this ribosomal RNA (484 nucleotides) under uncultured bacterium. RNAcentral's name for it is "SSU rRNA". It matches the Rfam family "Bacterial small subunit ribosomal RNA", at positions 26 to 521 of the family's 1533-position model. The record is from RNAcentral.